This 325-nucleotide unclassified non-coding RNA is filed under the name uncultured Spizellomyces. RNAcentral describes it as "sequence contains ITS2". The record is from RNAcentral. Lineage: Eukaryota; Fungi; Chytridiomycota.
AACGCACAUUGCGCUUCCUGGUAUUCCGGGGAGCAUGCCCGUUUCAGAAUCAUUAAAAUCUCACAAGUUCAUAGUAGGCCUCCGGGCUUCAAUGAGCUUGUGGAUUUGGAUGAUUUGCUCUAAGCAAUCGUCUUAAAUUGAUUGUAUGUGCGCCAUGUUUUUAGCAUUGGUUAUCUGAAAGUGCAACAGAUUUAUCUAUUCUCUUUUGGUAAACAAUGCCACGAGCAUCAGUGUAGAUACUCACUUUUAUUAAGAGACGUUGAUUGAAUAAUCACCGCUCUGAUAACUUGGUCUGAAAUCGGGCAAGAAAACCCGCUGAACUUAA